RNAcentral lists this long non-coding RNA (429 nucleotides) under Pongo abelii (Sumatran orangutan). RNAcentral's name for it is "lincRNA". Lineage: Eukaryota; Metazoa; Chordata; Mammalia; Primates; Hominidae. The record is from RNAcentral.
GGUAUCAUAAAAUAUGCUUGAACUUGGGUUAAUUCCUCUCGGACUGAAUUGUAGUGCCGUAAACCAAACUUUUCAAAAAGAUUGGAUGCAAAACUAUUAUGGCAACAGGAAUUUUUAUCAACAUAAAGCAGGAUUUAAUGCAGGGUGAAGGAUUUCUACUGUAAAUGCUUCAAAUCAUCAUCAUGAGGGAGAAGAGCACAGCAGUAUUUCCUUCCAAAAUCGUCCACCAUGGAGAAGAUGCCCUAUACGUGUAUGUAAAAUGCUGAAUUAAAUAACAUUGUUUAACCAUUUUGCCAGCCACAGAAAUAAACUAACUUAAAUGCCUAUGUAGCCCUGGUACAUAAUGCAGUGUCUGGUCUAUAGUAGGUGCUCAAUAAAGGUCUGUUUAAUAGUAAUGAAUGUCUGAUGGAUAAAGUAAAGAUAAGCAUU